AGCCCUGGGUUCAAAUCUCCGUUUUAUAUAAACCAGGAUGGUGAUUUGUGUCUGUAACUAGGUACUAGGGAGAUGGAAGCAGAUGGAUCAGAAUUCAAGGUCAUUUCUCAACUAAGUAGAUGGAACCAGUAAGAGACCGCAACUCUCUGCCUCCGGAGCCUUGCCUGCCUCUCUCCCUGGAGCAGUGGACCGCAGCGACCUCCCCCAGUGCAAUCUCUUCCUGCCCUGACACUCACGUAGCCAGUUGAGACGCUCAGACACCUGCUCAAGGCCCCACAUUGAAUGGCACAGAAGAUGUGAAGCCUACACCCCAUCUAUUUAAGGCCCCCUGACACCCAUCACAGCUCCUUC
Molecule: long non-coding RNA, 351 nt
Organism: Grammomys surdaster
Lineage: Eukaryota; Metazoa; Chordata; Mammalia; Rodentia; Muridae
Exons: 3
Source: RefSeq, a predicted model, not a curated record